AUANNUGCAGUCGACGAACUCUGGUAUUGAUUGGUGCUUGCAUCAUGAUUUACAUUUGAGUGAGUGGCGAACUGGUGAGUAACACGUGGGAAACCUGCCCAGAAGCGGGGGAUAACACCUGGAAACAGAUGCUAAUACCGCAUAACAACUUGGACCGCAUGGUCCGAGUUUGAAAGAUGGCUUCGGCUAUCACUUUUGGAUGGUCCCGCGGCGUAUUAGCUAGAUGGUGGGGUAACGGCUCACCAUGGCAAUGAUACGUAGCCGACCUGAGAGGGUAAUCGGCCACAUUGGGACUGAGACACGGCCCAAACUCCUACGGGAGGCAGCAGUAGGGAAUCUUCCACAAUGGACGAAAGUCUGAUGGAGCAACGCCGCGUGAGUGAAGAAGGGUUUCGGCUCGUAAAACUCUGUUGUUAAAGAAGAACAUAUCUGAGAGUAACUGUUCAGGUAUUGACGGUAUUUAACCAGAAAGCCACGGCUAACUACGUGCCAGCAGCCGNCGGU
RNAcentral lists this ribosomal RNA (504 nucleotides) under Lactiplantibacillus plantarum. RNAcentral describes it as "bacterial SSU rRNA". It matches the Rfam family "Bacterial small subunit ribosomal RNA", at positions 51 to 521 of the family's 1533-position model. Lineage: Bacteria; Bacillati; Bacillota; Bacilli; Lactobacillales; Lactobacillaceae. The record is from RNAcentral.